Molecule: ribosomal RNA, 482 nt
Filed under: uncultured bacterium
Lineage: Bacteria
Description: SSU rRNA
Rfam family: Bacterial small subunit ribosomal RNA
Source: RNAcentral
AGGACGAACGCUGGCGGCGUGCUUAACACAUGCAAGUCGAACGGAAAGGCCCGCUUGCGGGUACUCGAGUGGCGAACGGGUGAGUAACACGUGGGCAACCUGCCCUCAGCUUCGGGAUAACACUUGGAAACAGGUGCUAAUACCGGAUAAUAACCUUUCAUCGCAUGGUGUGGGGUUCAAAGUUUUUCGGCUGGGGAUGGGCCCGCGGCCUAUCAGCUUGUUGGUGGGGUAAUGGCCUACCAAGGCGACGACGGGUAGCCGGCCUGAGAGGGCGACCGGCCACACUGGGACUGAGACACGGCCCAGACUCCUACGGGAGGCAGCAGUGGGGAAUAUUGCGCAAUGGGCGGAAGCCUGACGCAGCGACGCCGCGUGAGGGAUGACGGCCUUCGGGUUGUAAACCUCUUUCAGCUCUGACGAAGCGCAAGUGACGGUAGGAGCAGAAGAAGCACCGGCCAACUACGUGCCAGCAGCCGCGGUAA